GAUGAACGCUGGCGGCGUGCUUAACACAUGCAAGUCGAACGGAAAGGCUCCUGCUUGCAGGGGUACUCGAGUGGCGAACGGGUGAGUAACACGUGGGUGAUCUGCCCUGCACUUCGGGAUAAGCCUGGGAAACUGGGUCUAAUACCGGAUAGGACGAUGGUUUGGAUGCCAUUGUGGAAAGUUUUUCGGUGUGGGAUGAGCUCGCGGCCUAUCAGCUUGUUGGUGGGGUAAUGGCCUACCAAGGCGUCGACGGGUAGCCGGCCUGAGAGGGUGUACGGCCACAUUGGGACUGAGAUACGGCCCAGACUCCUACGGGAGGCAGAAGUGGGGAAGAUUGCACAAUGGGCGCAAGCCUGAUGCAGCGACGCCGCGUGGGGGAUGACGGCCUUCGGGUUGUAAACUCCUUUCGCUAGGGACGAAGCGCAAGUGACGGUACCUGGAGAAGAAGCACCGGCUAACUACGUG
Molecule: ribosomal RNA, 465 nt
Filed under: uncultured bacterium
Lineage: Bacteria
Description: partial 16S ribosomal RNA
Rfam family: Bacterial small subunit ribosomal RNA
Source: RNAcentral